GGGGGUAUAGCUCAAGGGUAGAGUACAUGCCUGGUGUGCAUGAGUUCCUGGGUUCAAUCCCUAGUGCCUCCC
This is a transfer RNA of Camelus ferus (Wild Bactrian camel), 72 nucleotides long. It matches the Rfam family "tRNA". From Rfam's summary of the family: Transfer RNA (tRNA) molecules are approximately 80 nucleotides in length. Their secondary structure includes four short double-helical elements and three loops (D, anti-codon, and T loops). NCBI's taxonomy places the organism in Eukaryota, Metazoa, Chordata, Mammalia, Artiodactyla, Camelidae. The record is from Rfam.